Molecule: ribosomal RNA, 253 nt
Filed under: uncultured bacterium
Lineage: Bacteria
Description: partial 16S ribosomal RNA
Rfam family: Bacterial small subunit ribosomal RNA
Source: RNAcentral
UACGUAGGGACCAAGCGUUGUUCGGAUUUACUGGGCGUAAAGGGCGCGUAGGCGGCGUGGUAAGUCACUUGUGAAAUCUCUGAGCUUAACUCAGAACUGCCAAGUGAUACUGCUGUGCUCGAGUGUGGAAGGGGCAAUCGGAAUUCUUGGUGUAGCGGUGAAAUGCGUAGAUAUCGAGAGGAACACCUGCGGCGAAGGCGGGUUGCUGGGCUGACACUGACGCUGAGGCGCGAAAGCUAGGGGAGCGAACGGG